GACGAACGCUGGCGGCGUGCUUAACACAUGCAAGUCGAACGGAAAGGCCCUGCUUUUGUGGGGUGCUCGAGUGGCGAACGGGUGAGUAACACGUGAGUAACCUGCCCUUGACUUUGGGAUAACUUCAGGAAACUGGGGCUAAUACCGGAUAGGAGCUCCUGCUGCAUGGUGGGGGUUGGAAAGUUUCGGCGGUUGGGGAUGGACUCGCGGCUUAUCAGCUUGUUGGUGGGGUAUUGGCUUACCAAGGCUUUGACGGGUAGCCGGCCUGAGAGGGGGAACGGCCACAUUGGGACUGAGAUACGGCCCAGACUCCUACGGGAGGCAGCAGUGGGGAAUAUUGCACAAUGGGCGGAAGCCUGAUGCAGCAACGCCGCGUGCGGGAUGACGGCCUUCGGGUUGUAAACCGCUUUCGCCUGUGACGAAGCGUGAGUGACGGUAAUGGGUAAAGAAGCACCGGCUAACUACGUG
RNAcentral lists this ribosomal RNA (468 nucleotides) under uncultured bacterium. RNAcentral's name for it is "partial 16S ribosomal RNA". It matches the Rfam family "Bacterial small subunit ribosomal RNA", at positions 28 to 507 of the family's 1533-position model. The record is from RNAcentral.